Molecule: transfer RNA, 63 nt
Filed under: Xenostrobus securis
Lineage: Eukaryota; Metazoa; Mollusca; Bivalvia; Mytilida; Modiolidae
Description: tRNA-Pro
Source: RNAcentral
UUAAAAGUAGUUUAAACAGAACCGUAGCUUUGGGUGUUACUAGUGUACUUUGUAUCUUUUAGG